GGAAGUGGUGCGAGUGGCGGAUGAGGUGGAAUGAGUCAUGGUGAGAUGGAAUGGGUGAGAAUAGGUCAGAGGUCGUUGAACAACCAUUGGCCGUGGUCUGGAUUCACGCGACCGCGGGUGGAGCAUGCUUGGCCACGUCCACAAGUAUGCGACCGCGGUCGAUGUAGGGUUGGCCGCAGUCCAAACUCAUUCGACCGCAGGGGCUUAAAUGCGUCAUGUUCCU
RNAcentral lists this long non-coding RNA (223 nucleotides) under Eutrema salsugineum. RNAcentral describes it as "long non-coding RNA (ESAL_LNC001883)". The record is from RNAcentral. Lineage: Eukaryota; Viridiplantae; Streptophyta; Magnoliopsida; Brassicales; Brassicaceae.